GAACGCUGACAGAAUGCUAACACAUGCAAGUCGACUCGAGUCUUCGGACUUGGGUGGCGCACGGGUGAGUAACGCGUAAAGAACUUGCCUCUUAGACCGGGACAACAUCUGGAAACGGAUGCUAAUACCGGAUAUUAUGGUUUUUUCGCAUGGAGGAAUCAUGAAAGCUAGAUGCGCUAAGAGAGAGCUUUGCGUCCCAUUAGCUAGUUGGUGAGGUAACGGCCCACCAAGGCAAUGAUGGGUAGCCGGCCUGAGAGGGUGAACGGCCACAAGGGGACUGAGACACGGCCCUUACUCCUACGGGAGGCAGCAGUGGGGAAUAUUGGACAAUGGACCACAAGUCUGAUCCAGCAAUUCUGUGUGCACGAUGACGUUUUUCGGAAUGUAAAGUGCUUUCAGUCGGGAAGAAGUCAGUGACGGUACCGACAGAAGAAGCGACGGCUAAAUACGUGCCAGCAGCCGCGGUAAUACGUAUGUCGCAAGCGUUAUCCGGAUUUAUUGGGCGUAAAGCGCGUCUAGGCGGCAAGGAAAGUCUGAUGUGAAAAUGCGGAGCUCAACUCCGUAUGGCGUUGGAAACUGCCUUACUAGAGUACUGGAGAGGUAGGCGGAACUACAAGUGUAGAGGUGAAAUUCGUAGAUAUUUGUAGGAAUGCCGAUGGGGAAGCCAGCCUACUGGACAGAUACUGACGCUAAAGCGCGAAAGCGUGGGUAGCAAACAGG
Molecule: ribosomal RNA, 720 nt
Filed under: uncultured Fusobacteriota bacterium
Lineage: Bacteria; Fusobacteriati; Fusobacteriota
Description: bacterial SSU rRNA
Rfam family: Bacterial small subunit ribosomal RNA
Source: RNAcentral